AGGGAUUGCCUUAGUAACGGCGAGUGAAGCGGCAAUAGCUCAAAUUUGAAAGCUGGCCCCUUCGGGGUCCGCGUUGUAAUUUGUAGAGGAUGAUUCGGCGAGGGCUCCCGUCUAAGUCCCUUGGAACAGGGCGUCAUAGAGGGUGAGAAUCCCGUAUGUGAUGGGCUGCCUUAGCCAUGUGAAUCUCCUUCGACGAGUCGAGUUGUUUGGGAAUGCAGCUCUAAAUGGGAGGUAAAUUUCUUCUAAAGCUAAAUACCGGCCAGAGACCGAUAGCGCACAAGUAGAGUGAUCGAAAGAUGAAAAGCACUUUGGAAAGAGAGUUAAAAAGUACGUGAAAUUGUUGAAAGGGAAGCGCUUGCAGCCAGACUUGUCCGCAGUUGCUCAGCCUGUCUCCUGACAGGCGUACUCUUCUGCGGCCAGGCCAGCAUCAGUUCGGGCGGUCGGAUAAAGACCCGGGGAAUGUAGCUCCUCUCGGGGAGUGUUAUAGCCCUGGGUGCAAUGCGGCCAGCCUGGACUGAGGAUCUCGCUUCGGCUAGGAUGCUGGCGUAAUGGCUGUAAGCGGCCCGUCUUGAAACACGGACCAAGGAGUCUAACAUCUAUGCGAGUGUUUGGGUGUCAAACCCAUGCGCGUAAUGAAAGUGAACGGAGGUGGGAACCCUCACGGGUGCACCAUCGACCGAUCCUGAUGUCUUCGGAUGGAUUUGAGUAAGAGCAUAGCUGUUGGGACCCGAAAGAUGGUGAACUAUGCCUGAAUAGGGUGAAGCCAGAGGAAACUCUGGUGGAGGCUCGCAGCGGUUCUGACGUGCAAAUCGAUCGUCAAAUUUGGGUAUAGGGGCGAAAGACUAAUCGAACCAUCUAG
Molecule: ribosomal RNA, 859 nt
Filed under: Neofusicoccum macroclavatum
Lineage: Eukaryota; Fungi; Ascomycota; Dothideomycetes; Botryosphaeriales; Botryosphaeriaceae
Description: eukaryotic LSU rRNA
Rfam family: Eukaryotic large subunit ribosomal RNA
Source: RNAcentral